UACGGAGGGAGCUAGCGUUGUUCGGAAUUACUGGGCGUAAAGCGCACGUAGGCGGCUUUGUAAGUUAGAGGUGAAAGCCCGGGGCUCAACCCCGGAAUUGCCUUUAAGACUGCAUCGCUCGAAUCCGGGAGAGGUGAGUGGAAUUCCGAGUGUAGAGGUGAAAUUCGUAGAUAUUCGGAAGAACACCAGUGGCGAAGGCGGCUCACUGGACCGGCAUUGACGCUGAGGUGCGAAAGCGUGGGGAGCAAACAGG
This 253-nucleotide ribosomal RNA is filed under the name uncultured bacterium. RNAcentral's name for it is "partial 16S ribosomal RNA". It matches the Rfam family "Bacterial small subunit ribosomal RNA", at positions 524 to 776 of the family's 1533-position model. The record is from RNAcentral.